ACUCCUACGGGAGGCAGCAGUGGGAAUCUUAGACAAUGGGGGCAAGCCCUCGAUCUAGCCAUGCCGCGUGUGUGACGAAGGUCUUAGGAUCGUAAAGCACAUUUCGCCGGGGAAGAUAAUGACGGUACCCGGUAAAGAAACCCCGCGUACAUCCGUGCCAGCAGCCGCGGUAAUACGGAGGGGGUUAGCGUUGUUCGGAAUUACUGGGCGUAAAGCGCACGUAGGCGGAUUGAUAAGUCGGGGGUGAAAUCCCGGGGCUC
Molecule: ribosomal RNA, 260 nt
Filed under: uncultured bacterium
Lineage: Bacteria
Description: partial 16S ribosomal RNA
Rfam family: Bacterial small subunit ribosomal RNA
Source: RNAcentral